AAAAAAGACAAACAUGGUUUCCGUGUCCAAUGUUUGACAGUCCGUCUUAUUUGAAAAAAAUAUGAAAAAAAUUAAAAAGACAAGUCACGCAUAAAAUAUUAAUCAUGUUUUAUCAUCUAACAACAAUGAAAAUACGAAUUAUAAAAAAAAUAUAUAAGACGGACAGUUAAAGUUAGACACGAAAACUCAGGGUUUGCCUUUUU
This is a microRNA precursor of Oryza rufipogon (brownbeard rice), 203 nucleotides long. It matches the Rfam family "MIR812 microRNA precursor family". The record is from Rfam. NCBI's taxonomy places the organism in Eukaryota, Viridiplantae, Streptophyta, Magnoliopsida, Poales, Poaceae.